AGAGUUUGAUCAUGGCUCAGAUUGAACGCUGGCGGCAGGCCUAACACAUGCAAGUCGAACGGUAACAGGAAUCAGCUUGCUGAUUCGCUGACGAGUGGCGGACGGGUGAGUAAUGUCUGGGAAACUGCCUGAUGGAGGGGGAUAACUACUGGAAACGGUAGCUAAUACCGCAUAACGUCGCAAGACCAAAGAGGGGGACCUUCGGGCCUCUUGCCAUCGGAUGUGCCCAGAUGGGAUUAGCUAGUAGGUGGGGUAACGGCUCACCUAGGCGACGAUCCCUAGCUGGUCUGAGAGGAUGACCAGCCACACUGGAACUGAGACACGGUCCAGACUCCUACGGGAGGCAGCAGUGGGGAAUAUUGCACAAUGGGCGCAAGCCUGAUGCAGCCAUGCCGCGUGUAUGAAGAAGGCCUUCGGGUUGUAAAGUACUUUCAGCGGGGAGGAAGGGAGUAAAGUUAAUACCUUUGCUCAUUGACAUUACCCGCGGGAGAAGCACCGGCUAACUCCGUGCCAGAGCCGCGGUAAUACGGAGGGUGCAAGCGUUAAUCGGGAAUUACUGGGGCGUAAAGCGCACGCAGGCGGUUUGUUAAGUCAGAUGUGAAAUCCCCGGGCUCAACCUGGGAACUGCAUCUGAUACUGGCAAGCUUGAGUCUCGUAGAGGGGGGGUAGAAUUCCAGGGUAGCGGAGAAAUGCGUAGAGAUCUGGAGGAAUACCGGUGGCGAAGGCGGCUCCCUGGACGAAAACUGACG
RNAcentral lists this ribosomal RNA (749 nucleotides) under uncultured bacterium. RNAcentral describes it as "bacterial SSU rRNA". It matches the Rfam family "Bacterial small subunit ribosomal RNA", at positions 8 to 745 of the family's 1533-position model. The record is from RNAcentral.